This is a non-coding RNA of Aedes albopictus (Asian tiger mosquito), 72 nucleotides long. NCBI's taxonomy places the organism in Eukaryota, Metazoa, Arthropoda, Insecta, Diptera, Culicidae. The record is from Rfam.
AUCUAGUUAGCCCAGUGGUAAGGCUUUGGAUCACCAAUCCGGAGACGGCGGGUUCGAUUCCCGCUCCUGUUG